GAUGAACGCUGGCGGCGUGCCUAAUACAUGCAAGUCGAGCGAACGGACGAGAAGCUUGCUUCUCUGAUGUUAGCGGCGGACGGGUGAGUAACACGUGGAUAACCUACCUAUAAGACUGGGAUAACUUCGGGAAACCGGAGCUAAUACCGGAUAAUAUUUUGAACCGCAUGGUUCAAAAGUAAAAGACGGUCUUGCUGUCACUUAUAGAUGGAUCCGCGCUGCAUUAGCUAGUUGGUAAGGUAACGGCUUACCAAGGCAACGAUGCAUAGCCGACCUGAGAGGGUGAUCGGCCACACUGGAACUGAGACGCGGUCCAGACUCCUACGGGAGGCAGCAGUAGGGAAUCUUCCGCAAUGGGCGAAAGCCUGACGGAGCAACGCCGCGUGAGUGAUGAAGGUCUUCGGAUCGUAAAACUCUGUUAUUAGGGAAGAACAUAUGUGUAAGUAACUGUGCACAUCUUGACGGUACCUAAUCAGAAAGCCACGGCUAACUACGUG
Molecule: ribosomal RNA, 497 nt
Filed under: uncultured bacterium
Lineage: Bacteria
Description: partial 16S ribosomal RNA
Rfam family: Bacterial small subunit ribosomal RNA
Source: RNAcentral